RNAcentral lists this unclassified non-coding RNA (288 nucleotides) under uncultured Helotiales. RNAcentral's name for it is "sequence contains ITS1". The stretch from base 1 to 105 matches the Rfam family "5.8S ribosomal RNA", at positions 50 to 154 of the family's 154-position model. Lineage: Eukaryota; Fungi; Ascomycota; Leotiomycetes; Helotiales. The record is from RNAcentral.
GAAAUGCGAUAAGUAAUGUGAAUUGCAGAAUUCAGUGAAUCAUCGAAUCUUUGAACGCACAUUGCGCCCCUUGGUAUUCCGGGGGGCAUGCCUGUUCGAGCGUCAUUAACACCACUCAAGCCUGGCUUGGUAUUGGGGUACGCACACCAGCGGCCCCUAAAAUCAGUGGCGGUGCCGUUGGGCUCUUAGCGUAGUAAUUCUUCUCGCUACAGGGUCUUGCGGUGGCUUGCCAUAACCCAAAUUUUUAAGGUUGACCUCGGAUCAGGUAGGGAUACCCGCUGAACUUAA